GACGAACGCUGGCGGCGUGCUUAACACAUGCAAGUCGAACGGAAAGGCCCUGCUUUUGUGGGGUGCUCGAGUGGCGAACGGGUGAGUAACACGUGAGUAACCUGCCCUUGACUUUGGGAUAACUUCAGGAAACUGGGGCUAAUACCGGAUAGGAGCUCCUGCUGCAUGGUGGGGGUUGGAAAGUUUCGGCGGUUGGGGAUGGACUCGCGGCUUAUCAGCUUGUUGGUGGGGUAGUGGCUUACCAAGGCUUUGACGGGUAGCCGGCCUGAGAGGGUGACCGGCCACAUUGGGACUGAGAUACGGCCCAGACUCCUACGGGAGGCAGCAGUGGGGAAUAUUGCACAAUGGGCGGAAGCCUGAUGCAGCAACGCCGCGUGAGGGAUGACGGCCUUCGGGUUGUAAACCGCUUUCGCCUGGGACGAAGCGUGAGUGACGGUAAUGGGUAAAGAAGCACCGGCUAACUACGUG
Molecule: ribosomal RNA, 468 nt
Filed under: uncultured bacterium
Lineage: Bacteria
Description: partial 16S ribosomal RNA
Rfam family: Bacterial small subunit ribosomal RNA
Source: RNAcentral